AAUUCUCAAACCUUCUUGGUUUCUUGACCAAGAUGGCUUUGGACUUUGGAGGUGUUUUGCUGGCUUUGCACAAGGUCGGCUCCUCUUAAAUGCAUUAGUGGGGUCCCCUUUGCCAAUCCCCAGGCGUGAUAAGAUGUUUUCUAUGUCUUGGGAUUUGCUCUGUUCAUUGGGAACCCGCUUCCAACCGUCUCGUGAGAGACAUCGUUCGAGCUUGCUCGGCGCACGAA
Molecule: unclassified non-coding RNA, 227 nt
Filed under: uncultured Russula
Lineage: Eukaryota; Fungi; Basidiomycota; Agaricomycetes; Russulales; Russulaceae
Description: sequence contains ITS2
Source: RNAcentral